GUAUUGUCUGGAAGCCCCAUGAGAUGGUAA
This 30-nucleotide non-coding RNA is filed under the name Homo sapiens (human). Lineage: Eukaryota; Metazoa; Chordata; Mammalia; Primates; Hominidae. The record is from RNAcentral.